This 468-nucleotide ribosomal RNA is filed under the name uncultured bacterium. Its description in RNAcentral is "partial 16S ribosomal RNA". It matches the Rfam family "Bacterial small subunit ribosomal RNA", at positions 28 to 507 of the family's 1533-position model. The record is from RNAcentral.
GACGAACGCUGGCGGCGUGCUUAACACAUGCAAGUCGAACGGAAAGGCCCUGCUUUUGUGGGGUGCUCGAGUGGCGAACGGGUGAGUAACACGUGAGUAACCUGCCCUUGACUUUGGGAUAACUUCGGGAAACUGGGGCUAAUACCGGAUAGGAGCUCCUGCUGCGUGGUGGGGGUUGGAAAGUUUCGGCGGUUGGGGAUGGACUCGCGGCUUAUCAGCUUGUUGGUGGGGUAGUGGCUUACCAAGGCUUUGACGGGUAGCCGGCCUGAGAGGGUGACCGGCCACAUUGGGACUGAGAUACGGCCCAGACUCCUACGGGAGGCAGCAGUGGGGAAUAUUGCACAAUGGGCGGAAGCCUGAUGCAGCAACGCCGCGUGCGGGAUGACGGCCUUCGGGUUGUAAACCGCUUUCGCCUGUGACGAAGCGUGAGUGACGGUAAUGGGUAAAGAAGCACCGGCUAACUACGUG